AAGCUUUGGUGCUUAUAUAAAUCCUUACAUCAUCUAUCCACAAAACAUUGAUUGGUCACCCUUGAUGUUUGAGGCACUGUGCUAAACCUCAGGGAUAAGGACAUGAGGGGUCUGGCCGAUGCUGUCCACCGCGUCUGAGACCUCCCUUUGGGGCCAGACUCCUCCUGAGGGGGGUGCUUUACCUCAGGGGCACCAUGAAUCUUUCAAUUUUGCCAUGUAAGGUUCCUGCUCCCGCUUAGCCUUCUGCCAUGAGUGAAAGCUCCUUGAAGCCUCUCCAGAAGCUAAGCUGAUAUCGGUGCCAUGCUUCCUGUAAAGCCUGCAGAAACAGUCUCCUAGGAAAUAGACCGCAUAUUGGCCUUAAGGAGGUAUGUCAACUUGUAAGUCAAAAUAAUAUACAAACUGAGGCCCAGAACUGAACCAUUAGCCAUGGUAUUGGUAUCACUGUCAACUCAGACUCCCAGGCAACAGUGUAAAUGGAAUUGGAACACAGGGACCCUCUCCUCACCUCCGCCCCUUUGUUUCUCAAAUGUACAAAUUCUAAAUAAAAUAGAACAAAAUAAAUUUUGUUUGGCUUUAGAGAGUAUGUGUUCUUUCUUCCCAGCUUUACUGAGGCAUCAUUGACAAAAAUUGUAUACAUUUACUGUGUGAUGUGAUGUUUUAAUAUAUGUAUACAUUAUGAAAUAAUGUAAUAAUCAAGCUAAUUAAUACAUUCACCACCUCACACAGCUACCUUUUUUGUGUGUCUGUGGUGAGAACACUUGGGGAUGACUCUCAGCAAGUUUCAAGUGUAGAAUAUGGCACUGUUAACUAUAGUCACCAUGCUGUACGUUAGAUCUCCAGAACUUAUUCAUCCUGCAUAACCGAAACUUCGUAUCCUUGGACCAAGAUCUCCCCAUUUACCCCACCCUCCAUCCCCUGACAAUCACUAUUCCACUCUCUGCUUCCAUGAGUUUGACUUUGAUGGAUUUCAUAUGUAAGUGAAAUCAUACAGCAUUUGUCACAUGUGUCUGGCUUAUUUUACCUAUAGCAUAAUGUAAUCCAGGUUCAUCCACCGUGAUGGUUAAUACUGAGUGUCAACUUGAUUGGAUUGAAGGAUGCAAAGUAUUGUUCCUGAGUGUGUCUGUGAGGGUGUUGCCAAAGGAGAUUAACAUUUGAAUCAGUGGACUAGGAGAGGCAGAUCCACCCUUAAUCUGGGUGAGCACUAUCCCCUUGGCUGCCAGCAGAGCUAGAAAAAAGCAGGCAAAAGAAGGUGGCAUUAGCAGACUUGCUCAGUCUUCCAGCCUUCAUCUUUCUCCUAUGCUGUAUGCUUCCUGCCCUCAAAACAUCACAUUCCAAAUUCUUGAGCUUUUAGGACUGUUGGACUUACAUCAGUGGUUUGCCAGGGGCUCUUGGACCUUUGGCCGCAGACUGAAGGCUGCACUGUCAGCUUCCCUACUUUUGAGGUUUUGGGACUCGGACUGGCUUCCUUGCUCCUCAGCUUGCAGACAGCCUAUUGUGAGACUUCACCUUGUGAUGGUGUGAGUCAAUACUCUUUAGUAAACUCCCUUUCAUAUUAUACAUCUAUCCUAUUAGUUCUGUCCCUCUAGAGA
RNAcentral lists this long non-coding RNA (1589 nucleotides) under Homo sapiens (human). RNAcentral's name for it is "non-protein coding MTUS2-AS2:4". Lineage: Eukaryota; Metazoa; Chordata; Mammalia; Primates; Hominidae. The record is from RNAcentral.